Molecule: ribosomal RNA, 828 nt
Filed under: uncultured bacterium
Lineage: Bacteria
Description: bacterial SSU rRNA
Rfam family: Bacterial small subunit ribosomal RNA
Source: RNAcentral
AGUGGCGCACGGGUGAGUAACACGUGACUAACCUACCCUGGAGUGGGGGAUAACUGGGGGAAACCUUAGCUAAUACCGCAUAACACCUACGGGUCAAAGGAGCAAUUCGCUUCAGGAGGGGGUCGCGGCCGAUUAGUUAGUUGGCGGGGUAAUGGCCCACCAAGACAGUGAUCGGUAUCCGGCCUGAGAGGGCGCACGGACACACUGGAACUGAAACACGGUCCAGACUCCUACGGGAGGCAGCAGUGGGGAAUUUUGCGCAAUGGGGGAAACCCUGACGCAGCAACGCCGCGUGGAGGAUGAAGUCCCUCGGGACGUAAACUCCUUUCGAUCGGGACGAUUAUGACGGUACCGGAAGAAGAAGCCCCGGCUAACUUCGUGCCAGCAGCCGCGGUAAUACGAGGGGGGCGAGCGUUGUUCGGAAUUAUUGGGCGUAAAGGGUGCGUAGGCGGUUUGGUAAGUCUUAUGUGAAAUCUAUGGGCUCAACUCAUAGACUGCAUGAGAAACUGCCGGGCUUGAGUAUGGGAGAGGUGAGUGGAAUUCCUGGUGUAGCGGUGAAAUGCGUUGAUAUCGGAAGGAACGCCGGUGGCGAAAGCGGCCUGCUGGACCUCUUCUGACGCUGAGGCGCGAAAGCUAGGGGAGCAAACGGGAUUAGAUACCCCGGUAGUCCUAGCCCUAAACGAUGGGUACUAGGUAGGAGACUUAACAUGGGUUUCCUGCCGAAGCAAAAGUGCUAAGUACCCCGCCUGGGGAGUAUGGUCGCAAGGCUGAAACUCAAAGGAAUUGACGGGGGCUCACACAAGCGGUGGAGCAUGUGGCUUAAUUCGA